UACGGGGGGGGCAAGCGUUGUUCGGAAUUACUGGGCGUAAAGGGCUCGUAGGCGGCCAACUAAGUCAGACGUGAAAUCCCCAGGCUCAACCUGGGAACUGCGUCUGAUACUGGAUGGCUUGAAUCCGGGAGAGGGAUGUAGAAUUCCACGUGUAGCAGUGAAAUGCGUAGAGAUGUGGAGGAACACCGAUGGCGAAGGCAGCCCCCUGGGUCAAAACUGACGCUCAUGCACGAAAGCGUGGGGAGCAAACAGG
RNAcentral lists this ribosomal RNA (253 nucleotides) under uncultured bacterium. RNAcentral describes it as "partial 16S ribosomal RNA". It matches the Rfam family "Bacterial small subunit ribosomal RNA", at positions 524 to 776 of the family's 1533-position model. The record is from RNAcentral.